GAGUUUGAUCGUGGCUCAGGACGAACGCUGGCGGCGUGCUUAACACAUGCAAGUCGAACGAGAAUCUACUGAAAGAGUUUUCGGACAAUGGAAGUAGAGGAAAGUGGCGGACGGGUGAGUAACGCGUGAGGAACCUGCCUUGAAGAGGGGACAACAGUUGGAAACGACUGCUAAUACCGCAUGAUGCAUAAGGGUCGCAUGAUUCUUAUGCCAAAGAUUUAUCGCUUCAAGAUGGCCUCGCAUCUGAUUAGCUAGUUGGCGGGGUAACGGCCCACCAAGGCGACGAUCAGUAGCCGGACUGAGAGGUUGAACGGCCACAUUGGGACUGAGAUACGGCCCAGACUCCUACGGGAGGCAGCAGUGGGGAAGUAUUGGGCGAAUGGGCGCAAGCCUGACCCAGCAACGCCGCGUGAAGGAAGAAGGCUUUCGGUAUGUAAACUUCUAUCAGCAGGGAGAAAAUGACGGUACCUGACUAAGAAGCCCGGCC
Molecule: ribosomal RNA, 487 nt
Filed under: uncultured microorganism
Description: bacterial SSU rRNA
Rfam family: Bacterial small subunit ribosomal RNA
Source: RNAcentral